This 2538-nucleotide long non-coding RNA is filed under the name Scleropages formosus (Asian bonytongue). RNAcentral's name for it is "lncRNA (ENSSFOG00015024639.1)". The record is from RNAcentral. Lineage: Eukaryota; Metazoa; Chordata; Actinopteri; Osteoglossiformes; Osteoglossidae.
AUGAACGUCGUAAAAGUCAAAAACAGUGGUGUAGCUAUUGCAAAAGCUCAACACACAAAGACGCAUCUAGUGACGCAUGAAGAGGACGCAGAUAAACAUGCUGCAUUUGUCUUCAAAACGUGUGAUUAUCAACUAGACGGGCUGAAACAUAAAGGACUAAUGGCUGAUACGGGAGCAACAUCACACAUAAUUACCGACAUCGGAAAGUUUAAGAAAUUUGACGAGACUUUCCAAACGGGCAAACAUUUCAUUGAGCUUGCGGACGGGACAAGAGCGAGUGGCGUUGCGCUGAAGAGAGGUGACGCGGAGAUAUGUUUGAUUGACAGUGAAGGAAAGCAAGUGAGUACAACGCUAAAGAAAGCACUGUACAUUCCUUCAUAUCCACAAGACAUAUUCUCUGUUAAAGCAGCGACUGCCAACGGGGCUUCUGUUCGUUUUCGACAAGGACAUGACGAGCUCAUCCACAAGGAUGGCACGAGAUUUGAAAUAAAAGAGUAUAAUAGACUGUACUAUCUAAACACUAUAGAUAAGGGAGGAGAUUAUUGUAACGGCUGUUACGACAUUCAAACUUGGCACGAAAUCCUCGGCCACUGCAACUAUGAUGAUGUUUCCAAGUUGCCAGAUAUUGUGGAAGGAAUGGAAAUCAAAGGAAAGAUUGACAAGUCCAAACUGCACUGUGAAGUCUGCACACAAGGCAAAUUUGCGCAAAGCAGGAACAGAGAACCCGAUGCACGUGCCAAAGUCCCACUUGAACUUGUGCACACAGACUUGGCUGGUCCUAUUCAACCAGAGGCUAAAGAUGGUCACAGGUAUGCACUUGUAUUUGUUGAUGAUUUCUCAGGCACAAUAUUUGUUUACUUCCUGAAAGCGAAAAGUGACACUGUAAAGGCUACGGAAAAAUUCCUAGCAGACACUGCUCCUUAUGGUACUGUAAAGUGCAUUAGGUCAGAUAAUGGCACUGAAUUCACAGCAACAAAUUUUCGGUCAUUGCUAAGCAAAAAUCGCAUUAAACAUGAGACCUCUGCACCGUAUUCACCCCACCAAAACGGUACUGCUGAAAGAAGUUGGCGAACAUUGUUUGAAAUGGCCAGAUGCAUGCUCAUUGAGAGUAAAUUACCAAAAGAGUUAUGGACUUACGCUGUGAUGACUGCUGCAGUAAUUCGCAACAGAUGCAUUAAUAACAGAGUAAAGCAGACUCCAUACUACAUGUUGACAGGAAGAAAACCGGAUCUUUCAAAGAUGAGAGUUUUUGGAUCCAUGUGCUAUGCAUACAAACACGACAGAAAGAAGCUAGAUUCACGUUGUGAGAAGGGAAUAUUUGUUGGGUAUGACAAGAAUAGCCCUUCAUACCUAGUGUAUUACACAGACACUGGAAGAGUCCUUAAACACAGGCUUGUCAAAUUCUUCAAGAAAUGUGCUGUCGAGCAGCAAACUCAAACUGACCCACAAAUACCAGAUGAGGAUGUUUAUGGGGGAAGUUAUUUGCCAUCUAAGGUAACAACAAACAUCACUGAACAGAGUUCAGGGAAGUCUCAAGAUAGUGGAGACAAAACAGAUCUUCAAAAUGAUGAUCAGACUGAAAAUAUUCAGAAUAGAUGCAACCCCAAAAGGAACAGGAAAGCUCCCCAAUACUUAUCUGACUACGUAACUGGUAUUGAAGAUGAUGAUCAGAUACUUACUAAUAUUGACUACUGUUACAGAAUGUGUAAUGUACCACAAACCUUCAAGGAAGCCAUGAGUUCAACCAAAUCACAGAUCUGGAUUAAAGCCAUGGAAGAAGAGAUGGAUUCUCUAAAAGAAAAUGGAACUUUUACGUUGAUGGCUCUACCCGAAGGCAAACAUGCAGUGGGGGGUAGAUGGGUCUAUGCAAUCAAGAACAAUGCAGAUAACAAUGAAACAUAUAAGGCUAGAUAUGUUGCUAAGGGUUAUAGUCAAGUAAUGGGAAGAGACUAUAAGGAAACCUUUUCUCCAACAGCAAAUAUCACAUCAGUUCGUGUCUUGAUGCAAAUGGCAGCACAGUAUGACCUUGUUCUACAUCAGAUGGAUGUGAAAACGGCUUACUUACAUGCUCCAAUUGAUUGUGAGAUCUAUGUGGAACAGCCAGAAGGUUUUGAGGUAAAAUCAAAUACUGGUGAAAAACUUGUCUGUAAACUGAACAAGUCAUUGUAUGGUCUGAAACAGUCAGGUAGAAACUGGAAUAAGUUACUGCAUGAUUACCUGAGUGAAAAUGACUUUAUGCAAAAUCCUGCAGACUCUUGUGUCUACAGCAGACAAACUGGAAAAGAGAGAGUGAUGCUAAUAAUCUGGGUUGAUGAUCUGAUUAUUGCUUCUAGUACCAACGAGUUACUAAAUGAUGUGAAAAGGAUGCUGACAGCUAAAUUCAAGAUGAAAGACCUUGGUAAAUUAAAACAUUUCCUAGGCAUUGAUUUUGAGCAAAUGGAUGGAGUUGUGAAAAUGAAUCAAAAGGGGUACAUCUUAAAAAUACUGGAAAGGUUCAACAUGUCGAAUAGUAAGUCCAGAUCGACCCCAUGUGAACAA